This 316-nucleotide ribosomal RNA is filed under the name uncultured bacterium. RNAcentral describes it as "bacterial SSU rRNA". It matches the Rfam family "Bacterial small subunit ribosomal RNA", at positions 29 to 351 of the family's 1533-position model. The record is from RNAcentral.
AAUGAACGUUGGCGGCGUGCUUAACACAUGCAAGUCGAGCGAGAAAGGUCUUCGGACUAAGUAAAGCGGCGGACGGGUGAGUAACGCGUGGGAAUCUGCCUUUUAGUGAGGAAUACCCUCGAGAAAUCGAGGUUAAUACUGCAUAAGUCCCGUAAGGGAGAAAGAUGGCCUCUUUGCUGUCGCUAAAAGAUGAGCCCGCGUACUAUUAGCUAGUUGGUGGGGUAAAGGCCUACCAAGGCGAUGAUGGUUAACCGGCCUGAGAGGGUGUACGGUCACACUGGAACUGAGACACGGUCCAGACUCCUACGGGAGGCUG